CGGACUGUAGAAUAAUGGUAGUUCGCACCCUUGGGGUGGGUGUGGCCCGGGUCCGAUUCCCGGCAGUCCGA
RNAcentral lists this transfer RNA (71 nucleotides) under Candidatus Giovannonibacteria bacterium RIFCSPHIGHO2_02_43_13. RNAcentral's name for it is "tRNA-Pro". It matches the Rfam family "tRNA". Rfam says of the family: Transfer RNA (tRNA) molecules are approximately 80 nucleotides in length. Their secondary structure includes four short double-helical elements and three loops (D, anti-codon, and T loops). Lineage: Bacteria; Candidatus Giovannoniibacteriota. RNAcentral also lists the same sequence under 3 other names. The record is from RNAcentral.